GAUGAACGCUAGCGGCAGGCCUAACACAUGCAAGUCGAGGGGUAGAAGGAGCUUGCUCCUUUGAGACCGGCGCACGGGUGAGUAACGCGUAUGCAAUCUACCUUGUACAGGGGAAUAGCCCCGAGAAAUUUGGAUUAAUGCCCCAUAGUAUAUAACCUUCGCAUGUUGGUUAUAUUAAAGUUCCAACGGUACAAGAUGAGCAUGCGUCCCAUUAGUUAGUUGGUAAGGUAACGGCUUACCAAGACGAUGAUGGGUAGGGGUCCUGAGAGGGAGAUCCCCCACACUGGUACUGAGACACGGACCAGACUCCUACGGGAGGCAGCAGUGCGGAAUAUUGGUCAAUGGUCGCAAGACUGAACCAGCCAUGCCGCGUGCAGGAAGACGGUCCUAUGGAUUGUAACCUGCUUUUAUACAGGAAGAAACCCUCCCACGUGUGGGAGCUUGACGGUACUGUAGGAAUAAGGAUCGGCUAACUCCGUG
RNAcentral lists this ribosomal RNA (480 nucleotides) under uncultured bacterium. Its description in RNAcentral is "partial 16S ribosomal RNA". It matches the Rfam family "Bacterial small subunit ribosomal RNA", at positions 28 to 507 of the family's 1533-position model. The record is from RNAcentral.